This is a non-coding RNA of Gracilinanus agilis (Agile Gracile Mouse Opossum), 357 nucleotides long. NCBI's taxonomy places the organism in Eukaryota, Metazoa, Chordata, Mammalia, Didelphimorphia, Didelphidae. The record is from the annotation of a RefSeq genome assembly.
AUGAUGUACUCAUCCCAGCUCCUCUGCCUCCUGGUGCUCUGGGCUCAGGAGUCCAGCACAGCCAUUGUGAUGACCCAGACUCCAACCUUCCUGACUGUGACUCUGGGAGAGAGAGUCACCAUCAGCUGCAGGGCCAGUCAGGCUAUUACCAAUGAUUUAGCCUGGUACCAGCAGUCACCAGGAAAACCUUCCAAGCUUGUUAUCUAUGAAGCUACCUCCCUAGCAUCUGGGGUCCCUGCCCGCUUCAGUGGCAGUGGGUAUGGGACAGAUUUUACUCUCACAAUCAGCAGUUUGGAGGCUGAAGAUUUUGGACAUUUUUACUGUCAGCAGUAUUACCACCUCUCUAGCCCACAGUGA